GAUAGAACGCAGCGAAAUGCGAUAAGUAAUGUGAAUUGCAGAAUUCAGUGAAUCAUCGAAUCUUUGAACGCACAUUGCGCCCGCCAGUAUUCUGGCGGGCAUGCCUGUUCGAGCGUCAUUUCAACCAUCAAGCCCCCGGCUUGUGUUGGGGACCUGCGGCUGCCGCAGGCCCUGAAAACCAGUGGCGGGCUCGCUAGUCACUCCGAGCGUAGUAGUUACAUCUCGCUCAGGGCGUGCUGCGGGUUCCGGCCGUUAAAAGCCUUAUUUACCCAAGGUUGACCUCGGAUCAGGUAGGAAGACCCGCUGAACUUAAGCAUAUCAAUAAGCGGAGGA
RNAcentral lists this unclassified non-coding RNA (333 nucleotides) under soil metagenome. Its description in RNAcentral is "partial contains 5.8S ribosomal RNA, internal transcribed spacer 2, and large subunit ribosomal RNA". The stretch from base 4 to 118 matches the Rfam family "5.8S ribosomal RNA", at positions 40 to 154 of the family's 154-position model. The record is from RNAcentral.